This 163-nucleotide non-coding RNA is filed under the name Bacteroides coprosuis. The record is from RNAcentral. Lineage: Bacteria; Pseudomonadati; Bacteroidota; Bacteroidia; Bacteroidales; Bacteroidaceae.
CUAGAAAAGUAAUAAGAGGGAAUUAGGUGAAAAUCCUAGACAGUCCCGCUGCUGUAAUUCUCAUUAUUGGUGAUAGACAAAAGAAUGACUUUAAAAAGCCACUGGAUUAUUCUGGGAAGGCGUCUAUUUACUGAGAUAAGUCAGAAGACCUGCUAUUGUAAUC